RNAcentral lists this ribosomal RNA (280 nucleotides) under Salmonella enterica subsp. enterica serovar Uganda. Its description in RNAcentral is "partial 23S ribosomal RNA". It matches the Rfam family "Bacterial large subunit ribosomal RNA", at positions 2663 to 2925 of the family's 2925-position model. The record is from RNAcentral. Lineage: Bacteria; Pseudomonadati; Pseudomonadota; Gammaproteobacteria; Enterobacterales; Enterobacteriaceae.
UGAGGGGGGCUGCUCCUAGUACGAGAGGACCGGAGUGGACGCAUCACUGGUGUUCGGGUUGUCAUGCCAAUGGCACUGCCCGGUAGCUAAAUGCGGAAAAGAUAAGUGCUGAAAGCAUCUAAGCACGAAACUUGCCCCGAGAUGAGUUCUCCCUGAGACUAUAAGUCUCCUGAAGGAACGUUGAAGACGACGACGUUGAUAGGUCGGGUGUGUAAGCGUAGCGAUGCGUUGAGCUAACCGGUACUAAUGAACCGUGAGGCUUAACCUUACAACGCCGAAG